This 310-nucleotide ribosomal RNA is filed under the name Lactiplantibacillus pentosus. RNAcentral describes it as "bacterial LSU rRNA". It matches the Rfam family "Bacterial large subunit ribosomal RNA", at positions 2618 to 2925 of the family's 2925-position model. Lineage: Bacteria; Bacillati; Bacillota; Bacilli; Lactobacillales; Lactobacillaceae. The record is from RNAcentral.
GUCGUGAGACAGUUCGGUCCCUAUCCGUCGCGGGCGUAGGAAAUUUGAGAGGACCUGUCCUUAGUACGAGAGGACCGGGAUGGACAUAUCUCUGGUGUACCAGUUGUGCCGCCAGGCGCAUUGCUGGGUAGCUACGUAUGGAUGUGAUAAACGCUGAAAGCAUCUAAGUGUGAAACACACCUCGAGAUGAGAUUUCCCAUUCCUUUAUGGAAGUAAGACCCCUGAAAGAUGAUCAGGUAGAUAGGUUAGAAGUGGCAGUGCGGUGACGCAUGAAGCGGACUAAUACUAAUCGGUCGAGGACUUAACCAAG